RNAcentral lists this long non-coding RNA (916 nucleotides) under Cyanistes caeruleus (blue tit). Its description in RNAcentral is "lncRNA (ENSCCEG00000001221.1)". The record is from RNAcentral. Lineage: Eukaryota; Metazoa; Chordata; Aves; Passeriformes; Paridae.
UAACUGUACAUAAACUUGACAUGGAGAUAAGCUGAGACCUCAUGGCAGAAAUCUCAUUUGAAACAACUGGAAAUUACUUCAGCUUGGCUCAAGCCACAGCACAACAGAUACCUUCUCCUCCUCCAGCCCUGCUGUGAGUCAAAGGCAUUUUCUGGGCUGCCACUUUCCUGUGCUGAAUGACCUUGAGCCUCUUCAUGUUGCCCCGUCUUUGCUUGGCUCAGCAUGUGCAUCCCUUGCUCUUUAUAAAUACGCCUGCGUGCUCGCCUUUGCUGACUUCCUUCUUCUCCACAGCUGAAGGAACUCCUGAAGAUGCUUGGAAGAAUUUGUUGCAUUUCUGGCCCCAGAGGCUGUUAUGGAGAACACCAGAUGAAAUGAUUGUAAAGAGCCAGAGAACCUUUGAAAUGAUGUUGCUCAAAGAUUCCCCAGCAUUGUCACAAGCUAAGCAAAUAAGGGAUGAGGAGACCAGGAGAUGUGGCUAUAAAGGACAGAAGGAAAUGAGAAGAGACAUAAGCUGAUGGAAGGAAAAUAGCACAAGGGGCAGAACAAGUAGCAGGGACUCACUCACACCUCGUAGGCUGGCUUUGGGGUCAGACUGCUUUUGGGUACCGUCAGUCACCACCAUCUGGUCACUUUGCCUCUUAGUAACUGAACAAUGAAGGCUCAGAGAAAUGCCUGAUGGUGUAGGUUGUAGGGUUUGGGAAGUGAUGGAGCAGGCAAACAAAAAAUAACACUUGAUCUUCUCAUGUGCUAUCCUUUCUAACCACCACUAAGCAUUGUGGACAAACAAGUCAGCAGCCACACACUGUUAACAUUAGUUACUAAAAAGUUUUUUGGGGUUUUGUGCCUGUUCUCUCUGCACAUGCUAGGUUACCUUUGUGCAUUGUGUUCAAUAAAAAAGGACCAAAUUCUGGUUCCA